GACGAACGCUGGCGGCGUGCCUAAUACAUGCAAGUCGAGCGAACUCUUUAAAAGCUUGCUUUUGAAGAGUUAGCGGCGGACGGGUGAGUAACACGUGGGCAACCUGCCUAUAAGACUGGGAUAACUUCGGGAAACCGGAGCUAAUACCGGAUAAUUCAUAUCUACUCAUGUAGAUAUGCCAAAAGACGGUUUACGCUGUCACUUAUAGAUGGGCCCGCGGCGCAUUAGCUAGUUGGUGAGGUAACGGCUCACCAAGGCAACGAUGCGUAGCCGACCUGAGAGGGUGAUCGGCCACACUGGGACUGAGACACGGCCCAGACUCCUACGGGAGGCUG
This 335-nucleotide ribosomal RNA is filed under the name uncultured Bacillota bacterium. Its description in RNAcentral is "bacterial SSU rRNA". It matches the Rfam family "Bacterial small subunit ribosomal RNA", at positions 28 to 351 of the family's 1533-position model. Lineage: Bacteria; Bacillati; Bacillota. The record is from RNAcentral.